This 349-nucleotide ribosomal RNA is filed under the name Neobuthus kutcheri. Its description in RNAcentral is "partial large subunit ribosomal RNA". Lineage: Eukaryota; Metazoa; Arthropoda; Arachnida; Scorpiones; Buthidae. The record is from RNAcentral.
UUAGUCUUUUAAUUGGAGACUGGAAUGAAAGAGUAAACCAGGAAAAAUUUUUUUAAGAAAAGGAAAUGAAGUUUACUUUUUAGUAAGAAGGCUAAAAUUUCUCUUUUAGACAAGAAGACCCUAUAAAACUUUAUAUUUUGAGAUUUUAGAAAAUUAAAGAAAUAUUUUACUGGGGCGGUAGAAGAAAGACAUCUUUUUAGAGUUUUAAACGGACAGGUUUAAAUAUCUGGAAUUUCCAAAAAAGAAAUAAGUUACUUUAGGGAUAACAGCUUUAUUCAUUUUGAAAGAUCAAAUUGACAAAUGAGUUUAUGACCUCGAUGUUGAAUUAAAAUUUUCUUUUUGUGUAAAA